UAGUCGAAGGACAACAGGUCGAAAUUCCUGUACCACCGUAAGCCGUUAUGAGCAAUGGGGGGACGCAGCAGGGUAGUGACGCGGACUGAUGGAUGUCCGUCUAAGCAGUGAGGCUGAUGUGUAGGCAAAUCCGCACAUCGUAAGGCUGGGCUGUAAUGGGGAGCGAAAAUUAUAGUAGCGAAGGUCAUGAUCUCACACUGCCAAGAAAAGCCUCUAGCCAGGUGAUGGUGCCCGUACCGCAAACCGACACAGGUAGGCGAGAAGAGAAUUCUAAGGCGCGC
RNAcentral lists this ribosomal RNA (281 nucleotides) under Paenibacillus taichungensis. RNAcentral describes it as "partial 23S ribosomal RNA". It matches the Rfam family "Bacterial large subunit ribosomal RNA", at positions 1412 to 1691 of the family's 2925-position model. The record is from RNAcentral. Lineage: Bacteria; Bacillati; Bacillota; Bacilli; Caryophanales; Paenibacillaceae.